UUNGGAGCUCUCCCNUAUGGUCGGACCUGCAGGCGGCCGCGAAUUCACUAGUGAUUAGAGUUUGAUCCUGGCUCAGGAUGAACGCUAGCUACAGGCUUAACACAUGCAAGUCGAGGGGCAGCAUGAAUUUAGCUUGCUAAGUUUGAUGGCGACCGGCGCACGGGUGAGUAACACGUAUCCAACCUGCCGAUGACUCGGGGAUAGCCUUUCGAAAGAAAGAUUAAUACCCGAUGGCAUAGUUCUUCCGCAUGGUGGAACUAUUAAAGAAUUUCGGUCAUCGAUGGGGAUGCGUUCCAUUAGGUUGUUGGCGGGGUAACGGCCCACCAAGCCUUCGAUGGAUAGGGGUUCUGAGAGGAAGGUCCCCCACAUUGGAACUGAGACACGGUCCAAACUCCUACGGGAGGCAGCAGUGAGGAAUAUUGGUCAAUGGACGAGAGUCUGAACCAGCCAAGUAGCGUGAAGGAUGACUGCCCUAUGGGUUGUAAACUUCUUUUAUACGGGAAUAAAGUGAGGCACGUGUGCCUUUUUGUAUGUACCGUAUGAAUAAGGAUCGGCUAACUCCGUGCCAGCAGCCGCGGUAAUACGGAGGAUCCGAGCGUUAUCCGGAUUUAUUGGGUUUAAAGGGAGCGUAGGCGGACGCUUAAGUCAGUUGUGAAAGUUUGCGGCUCAACCGUAAAAUUGCAGUUGAUACUGGGUGUCCUGAGUACAGUAGAGGCAGGCGGAAUUCGUGGUGUAGCGGUGAAAUGCUUANAUAUCACGAAGAACUCCGAUUGCGAAGGCAGCCUGCUGGACUGUAACUGACGCUGAUGCUCGAAAGUGUGGGUAUCAAACAGGAUUAGAUACCCUGGUAGUCCACACAGUAAACNAUGAAUACUCGCUGUUNNGCNAUAUACAGUANNCGGGC
RNAcentral lists this ribosomal RNA (904 nucleotides) under uncultured Bacteroides sp. Its description in RNAcentral is "bacterial SSU rRNA". It matches the Rfam family "Bacterial small subunit ribosomal RNA", at positions 1 to 844 of the family's 1533-position model. The record is from RNAcentral. Lineage: Bacteria; Pseudomonadati; Bacteroidota; Bacteroidia; Bacteroidales; Bacteroidaceae.